RNAcentral lists this unclassified non-coding RNA (374 nucleotides) under uncultured bacterium. RNAcentral describes it as "contains 16S-23S intergenic spacer region". The record is from RNAcentral.
UCCGGCUUAUCACCGGCAGUCCCACUAGAGUGCCCAACUUAAUGAUGGCAACUAAUGGCAAGGGUUGCGCUCGUUGCGGGACUUAACCCAACAUCUCACGACACGAGCUGACGACAGCCAUGCACCACCUGUACACCCCCAAAAGAAGCCCCAUCUCUGGUUCUACCACUUGCAUGUCAAGGCCAGGUAAGGUUCUUCGCGUUGCAUCGAAUUAAGCCACAUACUCCACCGCUUGUGCGGGUCCCCGUCAAUUCCUUUGAGUUUUAGCCUUGCGGCCGUACUCCCCAGGCGGAGUGCUUAAUGCGUUAGCUGCGGCACGGAGAGGGUUGAAGACCUCCCCACACCUAGCACUCAACGUUUACGGCUGGGACUAC